This is a non-coding RNA of Arachis ipaensis, 503 nucleotides long. The record is from RefSeq and is a predicted model, not a curated record. Lineage: Eukaryota; Viridiplantae; Streptophyta; Magnoliopsida; Fabales; Fabaceae.
UAAACUUCUAAUUACAAGACAAAAGAGAAAACUCCUAUGGCUACAAUAAUAAGCAAAGUGACAUGUGUAUUAAUAACCAUAUUGAUGAUUAUUGGAACGUUUAUUUGUUCUGCACAUUCUAAAUUCUAUGACAUUACUUCUAAUAAAGUCCCUUCUCUUCCACACACAAAAAAUAUUCCUGAAGUCCCUUUGCCUCCACAUUAUUAUGACGACGAACUUAGGGAGUGUGUAGAAGAUUGUGAAUUUUUGUAUAAGAAUAAAGAAGUUACUUUGUGUACAUGCAUUGCAAUGUGUAUAACUCUCUACCCACCCACAAGACAUUAGUAUCUCGAAGAGAAAGUCACAAUGAUCAGAGUAGAAGAAGCAUGCUGGAAUAAAAGAGUCAGCGGUGCUAGGGACAGUACAUUUUGUAAUUGAAGAGUGACGAGAGUUAGCAAGUUUUUUGAUUUGUAACUAUUAAUUAACUGUCAUUAAUAUUUUUAAUGGUGUGAGAUUUUAUCUAA